GCAGGGAAUUGCAGUCAUAGGGGUAGAAAAAUACAAAAAUUUUCUGGGGAGAAAACCCCAGACCCUCUCCAGGGCCGUAGCAAAUUAUUGCUAAUAAUCAUUCAUUUUUCAAAAUCAUGCAGACCUUUAUUAUUUAAUCCAUGACAAACUGCAAAGAAUGAAGAUAUUACCCAUACUUUCCUGCAACUUAUCCAAUAUAUCGUUAAUUAAAUACACCUUCGUCCAUUUAGUACUACUGAAUUCUAAAUUUCCACAUACUAAAAACGCUGUUUUCUGACAAUCAGAAAUCUGUCAAAUCUUCCCCAAAGUCCAGGAAAUGGCAUUUCAGAGACUCUAAAUUUAAAAAUUUCCUCGGGCCUUCGGCCCUCGCUUUCACCCCCUCACCCCCAAACGAAAAGAGCUUCCUACGGCCUGCUCUCCCCCCCUACUAUUAAAUGCGAUACCACACCAAACUUUUUGUUACCAACAAACCAUCUAUCAUUGCUCCACACUCGGUAUAGUAUGGUCCCUUUUUGUAGAUGGCCCCCCCACUGACGAAUUCUUAAAAAAUGCCCUGGAUUACGUUAUGCUUGGUUAAGAAUUCUAUUCGAAUCAGCAAACGAAAACAUUCUGUUACGUCUCGAUUCAUUUGAGAAGCCAUAUAAACCACUCGAGCUCGUGUCUCACCGGGAUAUCCAAACACUCGAAAACAAUGUAUGAAAACACUCGCGCUCGUAACAUAAUACAUUGUUUUCUCGUGUUUGGAUAUCCCGGUGAAACACUCGCUCUCGUUGUUCAUAUAUUACCUGAAGUGCAAGUAUAGGUAUUAAAUAGCAUGGUUUCGAGUGCAAUUUGAAUAUAACAGCAACGAGUGAGUUUUUCAAAGACCUCAAAGUCGAGUCCGAAGGACGAGUGCUAUUUGACGAGUGCAUAUUUAUCCAAAUUUCACGAGAAACCAUGCUAUUACUUAUUAAUAAUUUACAUAAAAAUGUUCGAGACAAUUGUAGUUUUAACUUACGCGUUUAUAGCGAACAUUUCACUGGCAAAGUUUUCCUGGCUUUAUUAUAUCACAUUAUACAACGCUAACAGCUUGAAAAUUCCACCCAACUAUGUAUUUUUGUUAGUCUUGUUUAAUAAGGUAAAUGCUCUUCCAUUUAAAAAUAAAAAUAAAGAUAAAAGCCAUAUUUUCCACGCGAAGUCAACUUUUACUUUAUGUAGCGCGGCGCCAUGUUUGUUUUGUUUUGAAGCAAUCUGUGAC
Molecule: non-coding RNA, 1237 nt
Organism: Paramuricea clavata
Lineage: Eukaryota; Metazoa; Cnidaria; Anthozoa; Malacalcyonacea; Plexauridae
Source: the annotation of a GenBank genome assembly